AGGGCAGGUAGGCGGCCAUGUAAGUCCGUUGUGAAAGCCAGGACUCAACCCUGGAAUUGCAAUGGAAACUCCAUGGCUCGAGGAUCGGAGAGGUCAGGCGAAUUCCCGGUGUAAGGGUGAAAUCUGUAGAUAUCGGGAGGAAUACCAACGGCGAAGGCACCUGACUGGCCGAUUUCUGACGCUGAACUGCGAAAGCCGGGGGAGCAAACAGGAUUAGAUACCCUGGUAGUCCCGGCCGUAAACGAUGCAGACCAGGUGUCGGGGGAGUCGAUCCUCUCGGUGCCGCAGUUAACACACUAAGUCUGCCACCUGGGGAGUACGGUCGCAAGACUGAAACUCAAAGGAAUUGACGGGGACCCGCACAAGCGGUGGAGCAUGUGGUUUAAUUCGAGGCUACGCGAGGAACCUUACCUGGGUUUGACAUGCCAGAGGUAGUCCUGAUGAAAGUCGGGGCGACCGUAUCCAAUCGGAAUCUGGCACAGGUGCUGCAUGGCUGUCGUCAGCUCGUGCUGUGAAGUGUUGGGUUAAGUCCCGCAACGAGCGCAACCAUUGCCCUUAGUUGCCAGCGGGUAAUGCCGGGGACUCUAGGGGGACUGCCGGUGACAAACCGGAGGAAGGUGGAGAUGACGUCAAGUCAGCAUGGCCCUUACGCCCAGGGCGACACACGUGCUACAAUGGCCGGUACAAUGGGCUGCAAUCCCGCGAGGGUGAGCCAAUCCCAAAAAACCGGCCUCAGUUCGGAUUGCAGGCUGCAAUUCGCCUGCAUGAA
Molecule: ribosomal RNA, 769 nt
Filed under: uncultured Caldisericota bacterium
Lineage: Bacteria; Pseudomonadati; Caldisericota
Description: bacterial SSU rRNA
Rfam family: Bacterial small subunit ribosomal RNA
Source: RNAcentral